AGUGAACGCUGGCGGUAGGCCUAACACAUGCAAGUCGAACGGCAGCACAGUAAGAGCUUGCUCUUACAGGUGGCGAGUGGCGGACGGGUGAGGAAUACAUCGGAAUCUACUUUUUCGUGGGGGAUAACGUAGGGAAACUUACGCUAAUACCGCAUACGACCUACGGGUGAAAGCAGGGGAUCUUCGGACCUUGCGCGAUUGAAUGAGCCGAUGUCGGAUUAGCUAGUUGGCGGGGUAAAGGCCCACCAAGGCGACGAUCCGUAGCUGGUCUGAGAGGAUGAUCAGCCACACUGGAACUGAGACACGGUCCAGACUCCUACGGGAGGCAGCAGUGGGGAAUAUUGGACAAUGGGCGCAAGCCUGAUCCAGCCAUACCGCGUGGGUGAAGAAGGCCUUCGGGUUGUAAAGCCCUUUUGUUGGGAAAGAAAAGCAGCAGGUUAAUACCCCGCUGUUCCGACGGUACCCAAAGAAUAAGCACCGGCUAACUUCGUG
This 492-nucleotide ribosomal RNA is filed under the name uncultured bacterium. RNAcentral's name for it is "partial 16S ribosomal RNA". It matches the Rfam family "Bacterial small subunit ribosomal RNA", at positions 29 to 507 of the family's 1533-position model. The record is from RNAcentral.